CGUGGCUAACCUGCCCUUGGGACCAGAACACCCCCGGGAAACUGGGGCUAAUUCUCGAUAGGUGAAGAACUCUGGAAUGAGUCUUCGCUUAAAAGAGGCUGGGGUUAUGCUCUCCAGUUUCGCCCAAGGAUGGGGCCGCGACCGAUCAGGUUGUUGGUGAGGUAAUGGCUCACCAAGCCUUUUACCGGUGCGGGCCGUGGGAGCGGGAGCCCGGAGAUGGGCACUGAGACAAGGGCCCAGGCCCUACGGGGCGCAGCAGUCGCGAAAACUUUGCAAUAAGCGAAAGCUUGACAGGGCUAUCCCGAGUGCCAUCCGCUGAGGAAGGCUUUUACCCAGUCUAGAACGCUGGGGGAAUAAGGAGAGGGCAAGUCUGGUGUCAGCCGCCGCGGUAAUACCAGCUCUCCGAGUGGUGUGGAUGUUUAUUGGGCCUAAAGCAUCCGUAGCUGGCUAGGUUAGUCCCCUGUUAAAUCCACCGAAUUAAUCGUUGGAUUGCGGGGGAUACUACUUGGCUAGGGGACGAGAGAGGCAGACGGUAUUUCCGGGGUAGGGGUGAAAUCCUAUAAUCCCGGGAAGACCACCAGUGGCGAAGGCUGUCUGCUAGAACGCGCCCGACGGUGAGGGAUGAAAGCUGGGGGAGCGAACCGGAUUAGAUACCCGGGUAGUCCCAGCUGU
Molecule: ribosomal RNA, 672 nt
Filed under: uncultured archaeon
Lineage: Archaea
Description: bacterial SSU rRNA
Rfam family: Archaeal small subunit ribosomal RNA
Source: RNAcentral